This is a long non-coding RNA of Leucoraja erinaceus (little skate), 4512 nucleotides long. RefSeq lists it as uncharacterized. The record is from RefSeq and is a predicted model, not a curated record. The transcript is spliced from 3 exons. NCBI's taxonomy places the organism in Eukaryota, Metazoa, Chordata, Chondrichthyes, Rajiformes, Rajidae.
GAUAGAUAGGUAGAUAGAUAGAUAGAUAGAUAGAUAGAUAGAUAGAUAGAUAGAUAGAUAGAUAGAUAGAUAGAUAGAUAGAUAGGUAGAUAGAUAGGUAGAUAGAUAGAUAGAUAGAUAGAUAGAUAGAUAGAUAGAUAGAUAGAUAGAUAGAUAGAUAGAUAGAUAGAUAGAUAGAUAGAUAGAUAGAUAGAUAGAUAGAUAGAUAGAUAGGUAGAUAGAUAGAUAGAUAGAUAGAUAGAUAGAUAGAUAGAUAGAUAGAUAGAUAGAUAGAUAGAUAGAUAGAUAGAUAGAGAUAGAUAGAUAGAUAGAUAGAUAGAUAGAUAGAUAGAUAGAUAGAUAGAUAGAUAGAUAGAUAGACAGAUAGAUGGGCCAAACGCAGACAGAUGGGACUAGUGUAAAUUGAACAUGUUGGCUUUGUGGGCAAGUUGGGCCAAAGGGCCUGUUUCCAUGCUCUUAGACUCUAUGACUCUCUGACAUGGACUACAAGAUAGGACUUGGAUGUACUUUGUUUCAGCCUAAAAUUGCCAGUGAUCACCAAAGGUACAGUCAGAUUUACCUUGUUGUAAAGCUGAAUGCUGACAACCUCACAGCUUAUAGUACAGCAAAAUCAUGACCAUUAAACCGAGACUCCAGUUGGCUGCUCAGCUGACAUUAGAGAUUCAACAGUAUUAUUUGAAGAAGGGGAGGAGAAUUCUCAGUUACCUGGUGUUCUGGUCAAUAAUCUCCUCAACCAACACCACCAGCAGGGAUAAGAUAAAUGACUGCAUUGUUGUUUGUUGAACCUUGCAACAUGCAAAUUGCAGGCCCUGUUUAUCUAUAUAACACAGUGUCCAGACUUCAAAAAGUAAUUUAUUGCCUGUGAAAUCUUUUCAGGAUGUCCCUGCAACACAAAAGAGAAUGUGUAAAUUUAACAUCAUUCUUUGCUUCCCACAUGUUAGACACAAGUUCUUAGCAGUCAGAAAGCAAAACUAAAUUACAGAAUGUCAUGUAAAACAUCAACAAAAGAUAGGUGUAAAUGCCAAGUAAUAUUGCAUAAUUUAACUUAUGGAAUAUGGAAUUCCAUUUGAUAUCCCUGCAUCUUCUAUUCCUGUUUUAAACCUCGCUUAUUAAUUUGAAGGAAUCAGCAGAAAUUAGUGCUGUAACAUAAUUGAUAAUCGUUGUCGUGAUCUCCUGAGACAAGGGAUUUCCUGGCCAUGCGAUCUACGUAAACAGUGAGUACAGUACCUGGAAGCACUGGGAAGGACUUUAUUGAGCUUAGAAACAUAUUCAUAGGGAUGGCCGGCAGGUAUGAUUGAAGUGCAGAUAACUAUGGCCCGACCACUCUCCCUAACAUUCUAUUGGCCAAUGUAGAGUCUCUAGAAAAUAGGAUUGACGACUUAAAACAAGAGCCCUUUACUGAAAGGGGCAUGAGGGAAUUUUUGCAUACUGUAUUCCACAGAGAAUGGCUCACCCCAGCUCCCCAACUCAGGCCUCCAGCUGAAGGUUUCUCGAUCUACCUCACUUACUGGAGGGCCCUUUGUUUUCUUCAUUAUCUCCCACCACCGCUUCUCUGCAAUUUAAAUGUUGCCUAUUUUUAAAACCUUUCUAGUUCUGAUGAAACUCAUCAAUUUGAAUGUUAUCUCUGUUUCUGUCUCCACAGAUGUUGCCUGACCUGCCAAAUAUUUACAAUGUUUAUUGUUUCUAUAUUUUGCUUUACAAUAUUAUCUCUUUGAUCUAUUUUUCUUUUGUUUGUUUGAACAAACAUGGAGUUACCUGUGAAUAUUCGAUCCAGAUAAAUCACUACAUUGGAUCUGCAGAUACUGGAGAUUGGAAACAAAAAAAGGAGAUGCUGGAGGCAUUUAGUGGACCUGGAAGCACCUAUGGAGAGAGAAACAGACUAUGAGAGUUCAUCGAGCCAGCCUUGUCCAACCCACAGAUGCCUCCUGAGCAUCUGCAGCCUUCCAGAACUACCCAAUUCUGAUGUAAACUGAAAAGACUGGUUAUCUGAAGUGGAUAUGUUUUCACAUAGAUGGACACAAAAAGCUGGAGUAACUCAGCGGGACAGGCAGCAUCUCUGGAGAGGAGGAAUGGGUGACGUUUCGGGUCGAGCCCUUUCCCCAGCCACACAUACAGUAUAUCCCAUUGAAUGGGGCACAGUCUUUGUUUACAAAGAUGCCACCCUGCAGUAUGAGUCAUAAAUGGAGUGUUUCUUGUUGAGGAAAUAUGAGUCAACAGGCAGCUCAACUUCCAAUAUUUCGAUAUUGAUGUAUAGUCCAAAUUCUCCUGACAUUUUCUGAUAUUAUGCAAAUAAAGUACAAAUAAUUAGAUGAUUCAGUUUUGAAAAUAGUAAAGCUUUUCUUCCCUCUAUAAUAUCAAAUAAAGUAAAAUAUUUGUCAUGACUAAAAUAAACCAGAUGUAAUCGGACUUCAGAAAUGUUUACACAUCCUGGCUGUGUUUGUUUUUGGUCUAGAUGAUCUGAUCAUAAUAUGCCCUUGAUGAUUGUAUUUUAAAUGUCCACCACAUAGAUUCAAUAUUCCAAAGCAAGCUUUGAUUUUCUGUUUAAAGUCAGAACACAAUUAUCAGCAUGAAAGUGCCAUGGCGUGUUUUCAGUCGUUAAUUCUUCAACCCAUGUAUUUUGCCUUUCCUCCCAUGUAAAAAAAAUAAUUCAAUACAAAAUAACCUUAAAAGGAUUGUGUUAGGCAGGUUGAUUAACUGCUUUAGCGCUGGCUUCCAGCAACCAAUCCAAUAUCUGUUGGUGGGCAGUGGUCUUUCAGGACAGGCUGCAAGUCCAGGUUGAGGUGAUAAAUUAUCCAAUGAAUGCACCAUGUGUGUCCAGCUGGCACCAGCAUGUCAGAAGAUUUGCAUCCAGCUGUUUAACUUGGCCUGCUGCAAGGCCCUCAUUCUCGGUUUGUUUGGAGUCUGUAUUGAAGCAGUGGGAGUUGAAACUCCGUAGAUCAAGUUUAUUUUAUAGGUUGCCAUAAUGUGCUUACGGUUAUGGGAAUCCAUGCAGCUUUGUGAGAUAACAAGGUCCGGAUUAAAUAUUGCUGUAAUCAUACAGAAUUAUUUCACCUCUGUGUGUGUGCGUAGAAACAACUUGCUGCUGGCAAAAAUGCCGCAACCUACUUGAGGCCACGGGUACGCGGAGACCACUCACGAGAAUGAGGAAGAGUUACGAACAUCUCCUAUGACCUUGCGGCGACCAUGCUGCGAGUAUGAGUCAAGGGCAAACUCGGUAGAGGUCACCAAUUAGGUUGUGAAAGUGGGACUGGGUCUUAACAGACUACUCGCCUGCCUUUGCUUCUCUGUGUAUGUGUACUCUUUUAUUGCACGUCAACACUUGUUUGUUAAUUUAUUUUAUUCAAUUCUGAUUAAAGUUAAAUGUCUUGAAAUACUAUCUCCAUUUCUCACUCUGCAAAUGCUGAAUAACCCAUGGAGUGUUUCCUGCAAGCAGUAGAAAAGAGGAACUGCAGAUGUUGGUUAAUCCACAAAAGGACGCAAAGUGCUGUAGUAACUCAGCGGGUCAGGCAGCAUCUCUGGAGAAGAUGGAUGGGUGAUGCUUCGGGUCAAAACCCUUCUUCAGCCUCUUUUGUGUUUCCGGCAAACUUUGCUUCUGUUUUGUAUCCUCAGCCUUUGAAGCAUUUUUAAUUUAUACUACAAAAGAAUUGCCACGGCAUUCCAAAGACACUCUUCCAAAGAUACAGGUCUAUUACAUGUCAAUUGCUCCUCCAUGAAUGGUCAGAUAUUCAGACUUUUUAUAGAAAUGCUUUUAACAGGUUGAUUGGAAAGUGGCAUAGUGAAGGAAAAGAAUGAUUUCAAUCUGGGAUUAAUAUUCAAAAAGUAUAGACACAAGUAUAGUGCAGAUGCUGAUUUACAAAAAAGACACUAACUGCUGGAGGAACUCAGUGGGUCAGGCAACAUCUCUGGAGAACAUGGAUAGGCAAUGUUUUAGGUUGGGACUACAAGGGUCUAUUUUUCAGACUGAAGAUGAGUCCCAACUCAAAUCGUCACCUAUCCGUGUUCUUUGGAGAUCAUGCCUGACCCACUAAGUUACUCCUCCAGUUUGUGUCUAUACAGUAAAUCCUUGUUAUUACAGAUCUACAAUUGAUUUAGGUUAUAGCUGUCUGUCUCUUUAAGAACACAGGCUGCUAAUUACACUGUGGAAACAGCCUUUCAUAUUUUUACCUUGCAGCAACAAAAAUACAUUUUAGCUGUUAAAAAGAACUUUGUACACUCGGCAGGUUAGGCAGGUUGGUGUAAUUGGAAGGAGAAACAGUUAACGUUUAAGAUCAAUGUCCUUUUGCCCAGAACUCCAGGUGUGGGAAUCUCACUAAGAGCGGGACAGAGUUUCCGCAUCCUCUCACACCACCACCCCAAUGCCCCAGACCUCACAUUUUGUUCUCGAUCUCUGAAUGCAGGAAUCAGCAACAGCGGUUAUUGCCGUUCCCCAGCUGUGCUGCCCAGGUGGAGCCGGGCAGCCUUCUUGAGCCCAGCGCUCCGUGUGGUGAGGAAGGUCAGACUUGGGCUCUCAGC